UACAGAGGUCUCAAGCGUUGUUCGGAUUCAUUGGGCGUAAAGGGUGCGUAGGUGGUGAUGCAAGUCUGGUGUGAAAUCUCGGAGCUCAACUCCGAAAUUGCACCGGAUACUGCGUGACUCGAGGACUGUAGAGGAGAUCGGAAUUCACGGUGUAGCAGUGAAAUGCGUAGAUAUCAGGAAGAACACCCGUGGCUAAGGCGGCUCUCUAGUACGGUACUGACGCUGAGACGCGAAAGCGUGGGGAGCGAACAGG
RNAcentral lists this ribosomal RNA (253 nucleotides) under uncultured bacterium. RNAcentral describes it as "partial 16S ribosomal RNA". It matches the Rfam family "Bacterial small subunit ribosomal RNA", at positions 524 to 776 of the family's 1533-position model. The record is from RNAcentral.